UACGACGGGUGCAAGCGUUACUCGGAAUUACUGGGCGUAAAGCGUGCGUAGGCGGUUUGUUAAGUCUGUCGUGAAAGCCCUGGGCUCAACCUGGGAAUUGCGAUGGAUACUGGCAAGCUAGAGUACGGUAGAGGAUGGUGGAAUUCCCGGUGUAGCGGUGAAAUGCGUAGAGAUCGGGAGGAACACCCGUGGCGAAGGCGGCCAUCUGGACCAGUACUGACGCUGAGGCACGAAAGCGUGGGGAGCAAACAGG
RNAcentral lists this ribosomal RNA (253 nucleotides) under uncultured bacterium. RNAcentral's name for it is "partial 16S ribosomal RNA". It matches the Rfam family "Bacterial small subunit ribosomal RNA", at positions 524 to 776 of the family's 1533-position model. The record is from RNAcentral.